UCCUUGCCUUCUGCCGUAAUUGUGAGGCCUCCUCAGCCACGUGGAACUGCUUAUAGGCAGAAGAGACUUGCCUUGUCUCAGAUGAAACUUUGGACUGUGGGCUUUUGACUUAAUGCUGAAAUUAGGUCCUGCACAGUUCAAUAUUAAAUGGAGUUUCUACCCUAGCAUGAAAGGAGGAAGAGAGAAAAUCGGCUCCAAGAGAAAUUCGGCUCCAACAUUCCCCGAAUAUUAGAGUGGUUAUGUUGAACAUGUAAAUAUUCUCCCUGCUGUGAGUAUUACUGCAGCUGGCCAAAGAUGCUUUAUUUUAAAGAUGUGGAUGCAGGAAGUUAAAAGCAUCAGAAACACUGCAUGGGAAAAUCAUUCGAACUGUAGCUUCCUGGUUUUAGACAUCCCCGUGGGCAAUUGGGACAUCUAUUUUGGAGAUGUAAUUGAAAAGACUGAAGAAUGCACUGAGGACCUUCUGGCUGAUAGAAGCUGACAAAGAAGCCAAGAUAGUUUGGUCAAGAUUUCUGCAAUACCUGAGUUUCUAAUCACAACAACAAAAAUGACAUUUAUUUCCAAGAUAGUUUGGUCAAGAUUUCUGCAAUACCUGAGUUUCUAAUCACAACAACAAAAAUGACCUGGAUAGAAAACCUUGGAGAUAGUACUUGAUGGGCAUCACGUAGCUGGUUGCUGGCAGAAACACUGAAGCAGAACUUGUAAUAUCUUCAAAACAAAUGAAGGCCAGGAAUCAGAAAUUCUUCUGAAGGUCAGCUGCCUCUCCAGCCAUCCAUGAAGAGCUAUGGUUCUGAAUCCUGGCUAAUAUCAGAAUCAUCCUGGGAGCUUUUGAAAAUCCUGAUGCUCAAGUCACACUCCAUACUCAAACAAGAAGCUGAGUCUCAGAGAGAGAAAAUGACUCAUCCAAGCAAGGUUUGAGACCUAAGAAAGGUUGUGUAAGUAGAAGCUGGAAGACCCUUGAAAAGAGCAUUCAUUCAAGAAAUGAAGCAUGAAAUAGGAUGGCAGGAGGGAAGAAAGACAAGCACAUGGCAUGUCAGGUCUCUUCCAAUGCUAAAGGCUGCCUGUGAUACUCAUCUGACCUGAUUUCUACUGCACAGUGUUGCAACUGACGAGUAGCAGACUUGCCCUUGCCUGCAUUUGGGGGGAUGGCUGAGAUUUUCCUUAUAGAAAGCCCUACUUCCAGCAUGAACACUAACCCAGUUUAUUGGCUCAGGGUAUAGAGAGUUGCCGUGUUACUGGCGAAGUCAGAUGCAGCCAGUACAAGAUCUCUGCACUAGCUGUGAACACUAAGGAAGAAUAGCUAAGUGAGGAAGCAGAGUGCCAGGCAGCACAUCCUUCUUCAGGUGUUUCCUGCCCUGGGCCAGAUCCCAGGCACUGUAGCAAUAUCUCUGCAUGAUCUAGGGCUGCUGGAAAUAGCCCAUUAAGGGCAAAACUCACUGCCCAGAAAACAUUAGAACAUUAAAAGAGCAGGGUCUCAUCUGAUUGUCUUGGUUUCACUGAGGCUCAUUCAGUCUGUGUCCACUGGUUUCAGUCUGAGUUCUCUGCACUUUGAGGAUGCAGACAGUGAAGUUCUCUCAGGGUUAUAGGGGGAGAGAUCAUAGGAAUGCUAUGGAAAGAGGCCUGAAGUCAGAGCCAGCUAGUGGUUAUUAUUUAUUAAUUGCCUGUGAGGUGCCAGGCGCACAUAUUAGACCAUAUGUGAUUGCAGUGAGCCACCCGGAUCCCCUUCAAGCUGUUGCUGCAGUUGUUGGAAGUCCUAUUGGCAGACAGCCUUCUCUCAUCAGCCCCUUCAGGACUUGCCUCAGCUGCAGACAGCUGCCUUCCCCAAGAUCACACCCUUCCCUGGGGACUCACAACCAAUGGUUGAUCCAGAAGAAACUAUAAAGCCUGUAUCAUUUCAGCCCAAUUUAGGACAGCUUCAUUGAGCCAUUGGACCCACAUGCAGCCCAACCUCUCCUUCUACCCACUUCUUCUUUCUUCCCUUUCCUUCCACGGUGUCUGUUCCAAGCACUUGCCUUAAUAAACAUGUAACAGGUUAAA
This 2034-nucleotide long non-coding RNA is filed under the name Pongo abelii (Sumatran orangutan). RNAcentral's name for it is "lincRNA". The record is from RNAcentral. Lineage: Eukaryota; Metazoa; Chordata; Mammalia; Primates; Hominidae.